RNAcentral lists this ribosomal RNA (497 nucleotides) under uncultured bacterium. Its description in RNAcentral is "partial 16S ribosomal RNA". It matches the Rfam family "Bacterial small subunit ribosomal RNA", at positions 28 to 507 of the family's 1533-position model. The record is from RNAcentral.
GAUGAACGCUGGCGGCGUGCCUAAUACAUGCAAGUCGAGCGAACAGACGAGGAGCUUGCUCCUCUGACGUUAGCGGCGGACGGGUGAGUAACACGUGGAUAACCUACCUAUAAGACUGGGAUAACUUCGGGAAACCGGAGCUAAUACCGGAUAAUAUAUUGAACCGCAUGGUUCAAUAGUGAAAGACGGUUUUGCUGUCACUUAUAGAUGGAUCCGCGCCGCAUUAGCUAGUUGGUAAGGUAACGGCUUACCAAGGCGACGAUGCGUAGCCGACCUGAGAGGGUGAUCGGCCACACUGGAACUGAAACACGGUCCAGCCUCCUACGGGAGGCACCAGUAGGGAUUCUUCCGCAAUGGGCGAACGCCUGACGGAGCACCCCCGCGUGAGUGAUAAAGGUUUUCGGAUCGUAAAACUCUUUUAUUGGGGAAAAACAAAUGUGUAAGUAACUAUGCACGUCUUGACGGUCCCUAAUCAGAAAGCCACGGCUAACUACGUG